Molecule: long non-coding RNA, 528 nt
Filed under: Homo sapiens (human)
Lineage: Eukaryota; Metazoa; Chordata; Mammalia; Primates; Hominidae
Description: non-protein coding lnc-RAD1-3:1
Source: RNAcentral
ACGAGGCUAAGAUCUUUGGCAAUAAAUACAUUCCGAAGACCUGCAUCAGUGCCCUGCUUGCAGAGUGUGGCAGAGAAGCUAAGCAUCUCAAACUCGGCAUUACAGACCUGAGAAGGCUGUAAGACUCUCUGGUCCAUCAUCACACGGGAGGAAUAUAAAUCCUCAGAGCUGUGCUGGGCAGCAUGUUAGCUGCUAGCCACACAUGGCUGCUGGACACUUGAAAUGUUGCUAGUCUGAAUUGUGCUGUGCUGUAAAUGCAAUUCACACCAGAUUUCAAAGAGUGCAGAAACUGAGUUUCAAGUAGAUCCAGCAACUUGCCCAAGUCGUAAAACCAGAAAGAGUGGAGCCGAGAAUCAAAGCUUGGAUGCCUGACCAGAGUGGACCUUUGAAACACUCCUCUGUAUAUUGUCUUCAGGCUGCCUGUAUUUACAAACUCUGAUAUUGACCUCAUUACUUCUCCCCGUUCUGCAGGCAGAAGACUGCUAUGAGAGCACUUAGGACCCAAGCGACAUCAGCCUUGGAACAGGC